This 443-nucleotide ribosomal RNA is filed under the name uncultured bacterium. RNAcentral's name for it is "partial 16S ribosomal RNA". It matches the Rfam family "Bacterial small subunit ribosomal RNA", at positions 338 to 795 of the family's 1533-position model. The record is from RNAcentral.
ACUACGGGAGGCAGCAGUGGGGAAUAUUGGGCAAUGGGCGCAAGCCUGACCCAGCAACGCCGCGUGCAGGAAGAAGGCUUUCGGGUUGUAAACUUCUUUUGUCAGGGACGAAGCAAGUGACGGUACCUGACGAAUAAGCCACGGCUAACUACGUGCCAGCAGCCGCGGUAAUCCGUCGGUGGCAAGCGUUAUCCGGAUUUACUGGGUGUAAAGGGCGUGUAGGCGGGGAAGCAAGUCAGAUGUGAAUACCACGGGCUCAACCUGUGGCCUGCAUUUGAACCUGUUUUUCUUGAGUGCUGGAGAGGCAAUCGGAAUUCCGUGGGUAGCGGUGAAAUGCGUAGAUAUACGGAGGAACACCAGUGGCGAAGGCGGAUUGCUGGACAGUAACUGACGCUGAGGCGCGAAAGCGUGGGGAGCAAACAGGAUUAGAUACCCUAGUAGUC